RNAcentral lists this ribosomal RNA (253 nucleotides) under uncultured bacterium. Its description in RNAcentral is "partial 16S ribosomal RNA". It matches the Rfam family "Bacterial small subunit ribosomal RNA", at positions 524 to 776 of the family's 1533-position model. The record is from RNAcentral.
UACGUAGGGGGCAAGCGUUGUCCGGAAUCAUUGGGCGUAAAGCGCGUGUAGGCGGCUCGGUAAGUCUGCUCUGAAAGUCCAAGGCUCAACCUUGGGAUGCGGGUGGAUACUGCCGGGCUCGAGUCCGGAAGAGGCGAGUGGAAUUCCUGGUGUAGCGGUGAAAUGCGCAGAUAUCAGGGGGAACACCGAUGGCGAAGGCAGCUCGCUGGGACGGUACUGACGCUGAGGCGCGAAAGCGUGGGGAGCAAACAGG